RNAcentral lists this ribosomal RNA (253 nucleotides) under uncultured bacterium. Its description in RNAcentral is "partial 16S ribosomal RNA". It matches the Rfam family "Bacterial small subunit ribosomal RNA", at positions 524 to 776 of the family's 1533-position model. The record is from RNAcentral.
UACAGAGGGGGCAAGCGUUGUUCGGAAUUACUGGGCGUAAAGGGCGCGUAGGCGGCCUUCUAAGUCGAACGUGAAAUCCCUGGACUUAACCCAGGAACUGCGUCCGAUACUGGAAGGCUUGAAUCCGGGAGAGGGAUGCGGAAUUCCAGGUGUAGCGGUGAAAUGCGUAGAUAUCUGGAGGAACACCGGUGGCGAAGGCGGCAUCCUGGACCGGCAUUGACGCUGAGGCGCGAAAGCCAGGGGAGCAAACGGG